UCCCAAGUGACUUGGACUUUCUCACCACUUUUUAGGUGAACUGGUUCAGUGCCAGUGAGAUCAAUCUCCUCUCUCUUCAAAUACUGGCCUGUUGUUCUUAGUCUGAACGUCUGAUUCUUGAUAAGACCUUGAACCAAAAGCUUAUGGAAAGGCUCCUUGUGUUUGGUCAUCUUUAGAUCAUGGCAAAAAUGGCUGAAAAACCUAGCAUAGAAUAAGUGCAUAACUGCGUGCUCCUUGCCUCCAAUGUACAAAUCCACAGGCAUCCAGUAGUCAGCCAAGUCACAAUUAAAGGGCCUGUCAGUGUUGUGAGGAUCUGUGUAUCUCAGGUAAUACCAAGCAGAAUCCACAAAUGUAUCCAUGGUAUCAAUUUCUCGCCUAGCUUCUGCCUUACAUCUUGGACAAGCACAAUUCACCCAUUCUGGAACAGUUUCUAAAGGUGAGGCUCCCUUCCCUGUAAAAGUGGUUACAUUGGGCAGCACCACAGGUAAGUCUUCAUAAGGCACCGGAACAGUGCCACAUGUUUGGCAGUGGAUAACAGGAAUAGGUGUUCCCCAGUACCGCUGUCGAGAUAUUAAC
Molecule: long non-coding RNA, 576 nt
Filed under: Gallus gallus (chicken)
Lineage: Eukaryota; Metazoa; Chordata; Aves; Galliformes; Phasianidae
Source: RNAcentral